UGAUUAUGGCUCAGGACGAACGCUGGCGGCGUGCUUAACACAUGCAAGUCGAAGGACAACGUGUCUGUCGGGAUAUGAUUGCUGUGGACCACGGGUGAGUUGCGGAACACUUAUCCGCCCCUUGGUUUGGUGGGGAAUCGGGAAAGGAGGGCUGAAUUCAUAUGAUAUCAUAUUAUAAAGUGCCUUCGGUGCCUAGGGAUGAGCUCGGCUCUCAUUAACUGGUUUGCGGGGUAACAGCCCAUUGGCGGGACAACGGGUAGCUGGUCCGACAAGAUGAUCCUGGUGUGAGAGACUGACACACGGCCCAGACUCCUACACGAGGGCCCAACUCCGAAUAUUGGCCAAUGGACGGAAGUUUGACCCAUGGACGCCGCUUGCAACAUGACGGCCCUCUGGGUUGAUGACUGUCCUCUGGAUUGAAUAAUACUCGCCUCUGGCGAGUUGAACGUACCCUGAAAUGUGGCUCCGGCUACCUACGUGCCAACAGCCGCCGUAAUACGUGCCGAGCAAGCGUUGUCCGGAUUUACUGGGUGUAAAGGGUGCGAUUGCUGGUUAGUAAGUGGUGGGUGAAAUCUUUCGGCUUCCCUUGUGACUGCUUUUGAUACUGCUCAUCUACUGUUCUGGAUACGUCCAUGGAAUUCCAUGUGUAACGUUGAAAUGCUUAGAUAUGUGGCAGAGCACUGCUUACAUAUGCGGUCGACUGCCACGUAACUGACGCUCUUGCUACGACAGCGUGUGGAGCGACGCGAUUAAGAUACGCUGAUAGUCCACGAUCAAAUACACUUAUACUCCACGCCGUAUCGUAUGAAUCAGUGCCGUAGUAACCACUGAUGCAUGUCACCUCGGGAGUACUCUCGC
RNAcentral lists this ribosomal RNA (858 nucleotides) under uncultured bacterium. RNAcentral describes it as "bacterial SSU rRNA". It matches the Rfam family "Bacterial small subunit ribosomal RNA", at positions 14 to 889 of the family's 1533-position model. The record is from RNAcentral.